UACGGAGGGGGCUAGCGUUGUUCGGAAUUACUGGGCGUAAAGCGCGCGUAGGCGGCUUUGUAAGUUAGAGGUGAAAGCCCGGAGCUCAACUCCGGAAUUGCCUUUAAGACUGCAUCGCUAGAAUCAUGGAGAGGUGAGUGGAAUUCCGAGUGUAGAGGUGAAAUUCGUAGAUAUUCGGAAGAACACCAGUGGCGAAGGCGGCUCUCUGGUCUGUAACUGACGCUGAGGCGCGAAAGCGUGGGGAGCGAACAGG
This 253-nucleotide ribosomal RNA is filed under the name uncultured bacterium. RNAcentral's name for it is "partial 16S ribosomal RNA". It matches the Rfam family "Bacterial small subunit ribosomal RNA", at positions 524 to 776 of the family's 1533-position model. The record is from RNAcentral.